RNAcentral lists this ribosomal RNA (253 nucleotides) under uncultured bacterium. RNAcentral's name for it is "partial 16S ribosomal RNA". It matches the Rfam family "Bacterial small subunit ribosomal RNA", at positions 524 to 776 of the family's 1533-position model. The record is from RNAcentral.
UACGUAGGGGGCAAGCAUUAUCCGGAUUUACUGGGUGUAAAGGGAGCGUAGACGGCAGUGCAAGUCUGGAGUGAAAGGCGGGGGCUCAACCCCCGGACUGCUCUGGAAACUGUACGGCUGGAGUGCAGGAGGGGUAAGUGGAAUUCCUAGUGUAGCGGUGAAAUGCGUAGAUAUUAGGAGGAACACCAGUGGCGAAGGCGGCUUACUGGACUGUAACUGACGUUGAGGCUCGAAAGCGUGGGGAGCAAACAGG